ACUUUUGUGCAAACCUUAUUUAACAAUUUCAGUAGUUGUCACUAAGCUUUAUUUCCUUGUAUGCAUGUGUGUCCGUACAUUUUUGUGUGUUAAACAUUCACACUUUCUUGAUAUCACAAAAUCUGACCAUUUGCUGUAUUGCUACAUGCAUAUUGUAUUUAGUCUCUUGUAACGCUAUAAUGUGACACAAGUAGUAAAUUUUUGCAGGACAAAUGUAUUGUGAAGCAGGCGCUAUUUGGAAAAACCCAUUUAAAUUACAAAAAAAAAAAUUUGCGGCUGAUUUUGUUGAGGAAAAGUGUCGGAGUGCAUGAAGCAUUUACUGAAGUAAAGCAGAGGCCUAGUAUUGCGAAGCUUAGUAGUGCUGUAGUAAUAGCGAAUAGCCAAUAUUGGUUACGACUAGUAUUAUGCGAACAGAUACGGUAGUCUUCACAGAGAAUGUGCACUUGCUUAAAUGUUGAUCCUUUAGCGUAUAUGUAUGUCAGCUUGAUCAUGUUGCCCUUAGCCAUGAUGAAAACCAUGCGCGUCAUCUGACUGGCCUUCCAGCGGUUGGGCCAUCCUUGCUUCCUUUCGUCGCUCGGUUCUCGGGCGACGAAAGACUCUGCGAGGUAGUCUGGCAUAGAAAGCUCAAGAUGCUGGCUUUUUCUGAGCUUAAA
Molecule: long non-coding RNA, 653 nt
Organism: Rhipicephalus sanguineus (brown dog tick)
Lineage: Eukaryota; Metazoa; Arthropoda; Arachnida; Ixodida; Ixodidae
Exons: 2
Source: RefSeq, a predicted model, not a curated record